GACGAACGCUGGCGGCGCGCCUAACACAUGCAAGUCGAACGAGCGAGAGAGAGCUUGCUUUCUCGAGCGAGUGGCGAACGGGUGAGUAACGCGUGAGGAACCUGCCUCAAAGAGGGGGACAACAGUUGGAAACGACUGCUAAUACCGCAUAAGCCCACGACCCGGCAUCGGGUAGAGGGAAAAGGGGCAAUCCGCUUUGAGAUGGCCUCGCGUCCGAUUAGCUAGUUGGUGAGGUAACGGCCCACCAAGGCGACGAUCGGUAGCCGGACUGAGAGGUUGAACGGCCACAUUGGGAGUGAGACACGGCCCAGACUCCUACGGGAGGCAGCAGUGGGGAAUAUUGCACAAUGGGGGAAACCCUGAUGCAGCGACGCCGCGUGGAGGAAGAAGGUCUUCGGAUUGUAAACUCCUGUUGGUGAGGAAGAUAAUGACGGUACUCAACAAGGAAGUGACGGCUAACUACGU
Molecule: ribosomal RNA, 465 nt
Filed under: uncultured bacterium
Lineage: Bacteria
Description: partial 16S ribosomal RNA
Rfam family: Bacterial small subunit ribosomal RNA
Source: RNAcentral